UACGAAGGGAUCUAGCGUUGUUCGGAUUUACUGGGCGUAAAGGGCGCGUAGGCGGUUUAGCAAGUCAGAUGUGAAAGCCCUGGGCUUAACCCGGGAACUGCAUUUGAAACUACUAGGCUUGAGUAUGGGAGAGGUAAGUGGAAUUUCCAGUGUAGAGGUGAAAUUCGUAGAUAUUGGAAAGAACACCAGUGGCGAAGGCGACUUACUGGACCAUAACUGACGCUGAGGCGCGAAAGCGUGGGGAGCAAACAGG
This 253-nucleotide ribosomal RNA is filed under the name uncultured bacterium. RNAcentral's name for it is "partial 16S ribosomal RNA". It matches the Rfam family "Bacterial small subunit ribosomal RNA", at positions 524 to 776 of the family's 1533-position model. The record is from RNAcentral.